Anolis carolinensis (green anole) is the source of this 644-nucleotide long non-coding RNA. RefSeq lists it as uncharacterized. The transcript has 2 exons. The record is from RefSeq and is a predicted model, not a curated record. NCBI's taxonomy places the organism in Eukaryota, Metazoa, Chordata, Lepidosauria, Squamata, Anolidae.
CAAUGUUCAGGAAAUAAUUUCCAAUUGGAAACAUGAAGGUUAAUCUGCCAAAUUUUUGACAACCAGUUCCUAAAAGGCAAUGGCCCAUUUUAUCAGCUUCAAUUUGGAAACGUAAAACAUUAUUUGGAGGAAGAAAGGGACAAGCCUUGAGAGUGUUCUCACUAUGCCUCUCAGGUAGUCUAUUUUAAUGAGGCUUAUCUAACAAAGUUCCCAGUAAUUUUGAAGAUGAACCUUGGUUAACUUGCUUUUCCUGCUUUAUAGGUUUCAGUUAUGCCCCAUUGAACCUGGCAGACCUAUCUCCCUUACUCUACAGGAAAGCCAUAGGAACUUUUCAUUAGGGGAGUAUUUUCUUGUAUUCUCCACAGUCAUCCAUGGUAAUGUGCUUUUAUGGCAUGCUGCAUAAAAUGAACUAAUCACAAAAGGUUAGAUGGUACAGAAAGGAGAUGGAGGCCUAUGACCUAAAGCAGAAGGUAGAUGGAGAUCUAUCAGCAGAUCUAUUGGCCUCAAUUGUCUAAGAAUGAUAACAUCUAAAAAUUCCCUUUCCUGGAAAGUCAGCUGCAAGAGGGGGAAAAAAAAGGAGUGGCUUUUUGUGUGAAAGUACUUGUCAGCUUGGUUUUGUAUUGAUUAAAAUGCUAGGGCUCAUA